GUUUAAAGAGAAAAUUUCUCUCUAAGCUUUGGAAGUUUUUAAGUUUUUUGGCAUAGUUUGAGGUCACUCUCUCUCAUUUGAAUUGGGUGUACAAAGUUUUUUAUGUGGCAAUUUUUGCAGGUUGGGUCAUUCUUGUGAAAGCUGCAGUUAACUUGGAAUGACAGUGAAGCUCUGGUAUGGAUUGGGGGGAGAGCAACGUAUGUUGAGGAGUUCUCUAGCUAUUUUGGGCUGACCCAAGUAUGAGAGACUGAAACCCCUUCAUUCCCUACUUGUGGAUGUUGUUGUUGGCGAGUUUGUUUCUUUGUGUGGUCCGGCGGAUAGCUGAGGUCUUAGUUCCGUAUGGUGGUAGGAAGUGUGUAGACAUUUGCUGCUUGCCUUGCUGCUUCUGAUUGCUUUCUUCCUCAGUCUCGGCACCAACUCCAACUUUGGGUGGUCCAUGAAGCUGCUGGCAUUAUGGGUGGUUUUCAGCUUUUUCUAUGCUUAUGUGUGAUAUUGCUGUUAGGUGGCAUUGCCAUGGGUAAUUUCUUAUGUAUUGUGGGCUGGAAGUUUCUUUGAGUUUGGAUCCUCGUAAGGGUUGGUUGGGCCUUUGCUUUAAUGUAUUUUAUCUGCUUGUAAUCUUUUCCAAUGGGCUUGGCGAUACAAUCCUAGCAUGUUAAAAAAGAGUUGCAAAAAUUUUGUUGUCGUUUGCUCAGAGGCGUAUAGGAUACAGUAAUUCGCUUGCCAAAUAGGUCAACAAGUUAAAGCCCAAUCCUGCCUUAUUAAAGCAAACUAUACAUGACAAGUUAGGGUUUUAGUUCUCGACUCCAUUAUCAGGAGAAUAAAUCUCAAAAUUUCUCUGAGAAAAAUUGCUCAGUAUUUGCUAAUUUGAUUCCUUAGAUUGUUAUUACUUAUUACGUUAUAAAUGAGAAUUCAAUUUUUGGCUUUCUUUCUUUCUUACUUUCUUUUUAU
Molecule: unclassified non-coding RNA, 948 nt
Filed under: Hevea brasiliensis (rubber tree)
Lineage: Eukaryota; Viridiplantae; Streptophyta; Magnoliopsida; Malpighiales; Euphorbiaceae
Source: RNAcentral